Molecule: ribosomal RNA, 459 nt
Filed under: uncultured bacterium
Lineage: Bacteria
Description: partial 16S ribosomal RNA
Rfam family: Bacterial small subunit ribosomal RNA
Source: RNAcentral
CCUACGGGAGGCAGCAGUGAGGAAUAUUGGUCAAUGGACGGAAGUCUGAACCAGCCAAGCCGCGUGCAGGAAGACGGCCCUAUGGGUUGUAAACCGCUUUUGUACAAGGGGAAACCUGUAUACGCGUAUUCUGCUGACAGUACUGUACGAAUAAGCAUCGGCUAACUCCGUGCCAGCAGCCGCGGUAAUACGGAGGAUCCAAGCGUUAUCCGGAUUUAUUGGGUUUAAAGGGUGCGUAGGCGGUAUUAUAAGUUAGUGGUAAAAUAUUGGGGCUUAACCUGGGUACGCCAUUAAUACUGUAGAUCUAGAGAGUAGAUGAGGUAGGCGGAAUGAAUGGAGUAGCGGUGAAAUGCAUAGAGAUAACACAGAACACCGAUUGCGAAGGCAGCUUACCAGACUAAGUCUGACGUUGAGGCACGAGAGCGUGGGGAGCGAACAGGAUUAGAUACCCUGGUAGUC